RNAcentral lists this ribosomal RNA (253 nucleotides) under uncultured bacterium. RNAcentral's name for it is "partial 16S ribosomal RNA". It matches the Rfam family "Bacterial small subunit ribosomal RNA", at positions 524 to 776 of the family's 1533-position model. The record is from RNAcentral.
UACAGAGGGUGCAAGCGUUAAUCGGAUUUACUGGGCGUAAAGCGUGUGUAGGUGGCUUCCUAAGUCGGUUGUGAAAUCCCUGGGCUCAACCCAGGAACUGCGUCCGAUACUGGUUGGCUUGGAUCCGGGAGAGGGAUGUGGAAUUCCAGGUGUAGCGGUGAAAUGCGUAGAUAUCUGGAGGAACACCGGUGGCGAAGGCGACAUCCUGGACCGGUAUUGACGCUGAGGCGCGAAAGCCAGGGGAGCAAACGGG